Molecule: ribosomal RNA, 305 nt
Filed under: uncultured bacterium
Lineage: Bacteria
Description: bacterial SSU rRNA
Rfam family: Bacterial small subunit ribosomal RNA
Source: RNAcentral
UUCCUACGGGAGGCAGCAGCCGCGGUAAUACGUAUGGUGCAAGCGUUAUCCGGAUUUACUGGGUGUAAAGGGAGCGCAGGCGGCACGGCAAGCCUGAUGUGAAAGCCCGCGGCCCAACCGCGGGACUGCAUUGGGAACUACCGGGCUGGAGUGCCGGAGAGGUAGGCGGAAUUCCUAGUGUAGCGGUGAAAUGCGUAGAUAUUAGGAGGAACACCAGUGGCGAAGGCGGCCUACUGGACGGUGACUGACGCUGAGGCUCGAAAGCGUGGGGAGCAAAAAGGAUUAGAUACCCUGGUAGUCCAAAG